RNAcentral lists this transfer RNA (72 nucleotides) under Candidatus Parcubacteria bacterium. RNAcentral's name for it is "tRNA-Val". It matches the Rfam family "tRNA". Rfam says of the family: Transfer RNA (tRNA) molecules are approximately 80 nucleotides in length. Their secondary structure includes four short double-helical elements and three loops (D, anti-codon, and T loops). Further hydrogen bonds mediate the characteristic L-shaped molecular structure. tRNAs have two regions of fundamental functional importance: the anti-codon, which is responsible for specific mRNA codon recognition, and the 3' end, to which the tRNAs corresponding amino acid is attached (by aminoacyl-tRNA synthetases). tRNAs cope with the degeneracy of the genetic code in two manners: having more than one tRNA (with a specific anti-codon) for a particular amino acid; and 'wobble' base-pairing, i.e. permitting non-standard base-pairing at the 3rd anti-codon position. RNAcentral also lists the same sequence under 1 other name. The record is from RNAcentral. Lineage: Bacteria; Candidatus Parcubacteria.
GCGCCUGUAGCUCAGCGGUAGAGCGUCUGUUUCACAGACAGAAGGUCGCUGGUUCAAAUCCAGCCAGGCGCA